Ctenopharyngodon idella (grass carp) is the source of this 2978-nucleotide long non-coding RNA. RefSeq lists it as uncharacterized. The transcript has 2 exons. NCBI's taxonomy places the organism in Eukaryota, Metazoa, Chordata, Actinopteri, Cypriniformes, Xenocyprididae. The record is from RefSeq and is a predicted model, not a curated record.
CACGGUAUCUGGAGUUGCCUCCUUCAAAUGGGAUCUCGAACGCUGAAUGUUGAACGCUUUUGGUUUUUCACUCACCCACACGAAGUGAUUUCACCCUCAGCUGAAGUUAAGCAAGCCCUGAAACUCCUGAGAAGUGUUAUGACGUCUUCAUGGGUGGAGUUUAAGCCUGUACAGAAACAUGGCUUUCAACUUUCUGUCAUAUCAUACUGGAUGUGGAAGCAAAAGUCUGGCUUUGAUCUUCAAACAGGUCUUGUGUCAGUGCGAGAUGAAAGCUGAAGGUGCAGAUACACUCCUAGAGGAAGCCACGUUUGACUAUCAGCUCUGGUUUUACAACAAUGCUUCUUAAAAUGUUUUUUAAAAUGCAUUUAAAGACAGAAACUCAUUUAGCUUAAAACAACAGUGUCAGAAAUGCCCUCCACUAAUAUUGGCACCCUUGGUGAAUAUGAGCAAAGGCAGCUGUGAAAAUAAAUCUGCAUUGUUUAUCCUUUUGAUCUUUUAUUCACAAAAUUCUAACCAUUCAUUGAAGUAAAACAAUUGAAAGAGAAGGAAAACUCACAUUAUGAAAUAAAUGUUUUUCUCCAAUGCAUGGUGGCCACAAAUAACCCUAGAAAUUCUUAUGAGUAAAUUAUCUCUGAAAUAUAUUCACAUUUAAGGUUUUUUUUUUAGCACACCAGGGUGACUAAGAGCAUGAAAUUGUCCAGGAAUGACUUCCUGUUCCACAGGAGUACAAAUAUGUGUAAACACAAAGGCCAAAUUCCCUUAAUCAUUAAUCACAAAGAGAAAAACCAAAGAAUAUAGUUCUGAUGUGCAGCAAAUAUUGUUGAGCUUCACAGAAAUAGAAAGUGGCUGUAAGAAAAUAGCUAAAGCAUUGAGAAAAAAAAAAAAAAAACAUUCCCACCAUCAGGGAAAUAAUUAAGAAGUUCCAAUCAACUGAAGAUGUUACAAAUAAGAGGACGUGUGUCAAUUGAGAGGAAAAAAAAGUCAGAAUUGUGAGAAGUUAUAGUAUAGAGUUAUAUUCAGAAUUGCAAGUUAUAAAGUCAGAAUUGCGAGAAAGUUGCAAUUCUGAGUUCUCACAAUUGCUAGUUAUCACGCAAUUCUGACUUUAUAACUUGCAAUUCUGAGAAAAAAAAACAUUUUUUUCCCCUCACAAUUGGACAUAACACAGAACUGAGUUUAUAUCUCACAAUUCUGACUUUAUAUCAUGACUUUAUAUCAUGACUUUAUAUCUUGCAAUUCUGACUCUCACAAUUCUCACUUUAUAUCACGCAAUUCUGACUUUAUAUCUGCAAUUCUGACUAUAUCUCGCAUUUUUUUCUUUUGUCAAGUCAAUUUCAACAAUUAAUGUGGUUCAGAUAACAUAAUAUUUUGAGUUUCUGUUGAUUAAACCAAUCUCUCCCAUUGUAUUAACUUAAAUUUUUAAUUUCAAAAUUAAGGCAACCAGGUAACUUACUUUUUUAAGUUAAACCAGCAGUUCUUUUUUACAGUGUAGUAAUAACUAGAAAUUAUGCAUAAUUACAUGCAAAUAAUCCUAACCUUAACCCUAUAGUAAGUACAUGCAGUAAGUUAUUAUUACUCAGUAGUUAAAUGUUAAAUUUUAACUAAUGUUAACUAAUGGGACAGUUAUUGCAAAGUGUUACAAAAAAUCCUAUUAAAUUUGGAUUCUAUUUCUGAUGGCAUAUAACUUUAUAAUACUAGAAAAAUGUGUUUUGUGUAAAUAGCUACCUGACUUUUCCUCAGGGCUCUGUACUGACCUGAGAAAAGCCAUUUUCAUAUAACAAAGUGAAGGAAGUGCCUCCAAAUCCAGUUUCAUGUGGCAAUAACCUGGCCACAUACUGUAUAACUAUAGCUCUGACUGGAAGACAUAAAAUAAUCAGGUUUGUUAGGUUCGGGUAAAAGGAUGUUUCUUUUUAUUUCCUCCAAGUACAUGCUGUGGUUUGAAAGUUCAUAUAUGCUGGACACUAAGAUGACCAAUGGAGGUAAAUGAAAAAAAGAAACACAAAUAGCCUUUUACUCAAAUAUUUUCAGGGUUGUUUUUAGCACGUUGCUAUUGUGUUUCUAGGCGAUUGUUCUUUUGCAUAUCACUGCCUCAAAUCAAAAGAAAAACACAAGAAAAGAUGAACACUUUGAAUUUUUAUUGCACACUACCCUGUAUGUCCUCUGAAACUCUGUACAGCAGUUUGUUCAGGGUCAUUUAAAGAGAAGAAGCCUUAAAUAGGCUCGUUUUAGCUUCCGUUUUAGGAGCACACGUCUAUAUUCGAACUUUUUUGUUACAUUUUGAUAAGUUGUAAAGCAGCCCAGUGUUUUCGAACAGAGGGUUUUAUACAUUCACAGUAAAGCCACUGAAUGUUGAAUCACAGCUUUGAUGAAAUAUAAGGCACAAUGUUAUGCUAUAAAUGGUAAUAUCGACAGCAUGUGGUAGCAAUUUACAUAAUACUGCACAAUUAUGCCUCUUUAAGCCUUGAUGAAUACUUUACAGUGAUUUACUUCCAUAAUAUUUUCAUGGUUUUACAUUUUAGAAUGAUUCAUAUGUUUCUAUUGCUGAACAUACUGGAUCAUGUUAAUUACAAGCCUGUCAGUACAUGGAAAUAAUGUUUGCAAACUAAAGCUUAAACAUGCAUUUCUUCAGCAUCAGAAUGUCCUGAACUGUGCAAACAUGCCUGUAAACAAUAUAUACACAUGCGAUUCAAAAUAAUAGUAACAUAAUUUGGGAAAAUCGGAAAGGUUAUGAGUUCAGCAGGAUCACUUUUGAAUUUGCAGUUGUUUUUGUUUUGCUCUGUUGGUCCAUUGAAUCAAUACAAAAAUAUUUAGAUGCUCAAAUUCAUUUUGAACUAUAGGUUUUGAUGGCAUGGCCAACUUUAAGAUGACAGACUUUAUUCACAACUAAAAGGUUUAAAACAGUAGAAUAAUCUGCUCUAGAAACAAUCUCAGCAAUAACAGGCAGUAAUAUAACAUUAUAGGUAAAAAUAUCUAUCCAUUCA